Molecule: ribosomal RNA, 254 nt
Filed under: uncultured bacterium
Lineage: Bacteria
Description: partial 16S ribosomal RNA
Rfam family: Bacterial small subunit ribosomal RNA
Source: RNAcentral
UACGUAGGGGGCAAGCGUUGUCCGGAAUCAUUGGGCGUAAAGAGCGUGUAGGCGGCCAGGUAGGUCUGCUGUGAAAACUCGAGGCUCAACCUCGAGACGUCGGCGGAAACCAUCUGGCUAGAGUCCGGAAGAGGAGAGUGGAAUUCCGGGUGUAGCGGUGGAAUGCGCAGAUAUCAGGAGGAACACCGGUGGCGAAGGCGGGUCUCUGGGCCGAUACUGACGCUGGAGGAGCGAAAGCGUGGGGAGCGAACAGG